CCUACGGGCGGCUGCAGUGAGGAAUAUUGGUCAAUGGACGAGAGUCUGAACCAGCCAAGUAGCGUGAAGGAUGAAUGCCCUAUGGGUUGUAAGCUUCUUUUAUAUGGGAGUAAAAUGUUCCACGUGUGGGAUUUUGUAUGUACCAUAUGAAUAAGGAACGGCUAACUCCGUGCCGGCGGCCGCGGUAAUCCGGAGGAUCUGGCGUUAUCCGGAUUUACUGGGUUUAAAGGGAGCGUAGGUGGAUGGUUAAGUCAGUUGUGUAAGUUUGCGGCUCAACCGUAAAAUUGCAGUUGAAACUGGGCGGCUUGAGUACAGUAGAGGUGAGCGGAAUUCGUGGUGUAGCGGUGAAAUGCGUAGAUAUCACGAAGAACUCCGAUUGCGAAGGCAGCUCACUGGACUGUAACUGACACUGAGGCUCGAAAGUGUGGGUAUCAAACAGGAUUAGAUACCCCAGUAGUC
RNAcentral lists this ribosomal RNA (459 nucleotides) under uncultured bacterium. RNAcentral describes it as "partial 16S ribosomal RNA". It matches the Rfam family "Bacterial small subunit ribosomal RNA", at positions 338 to 795 of the family's 1533-position model. The record is from RNAcentral.